AGGCAAAUCGAACCCCUUGAAGCAUAAGAUUUCCUUCUUUACCACUUCCAUUUGAUUCCAGCUCCUUCGCUAUUCGCUUCAUAUACUCCUGAGCUAGCCUCAGCGAGCUGUAUUUUAGCUGCAACAAGGUAAAGGUUCCUCAAAUCUUUCGUUGAAGUAGUGGUGGAUGUGAGUCUAAGCAAAUUUUCUUGAAGUUGGUAAAAUGGUGUGCCAUUAUACUUUAUGUGCAACCAAUGGUGUGUUGUUAGUAAUAAUAGUCUGUGAUAGUCCAUAAUUUGUUACUAGUGUUCUUUUUCAAUCAUAAUCAGUUGAUCAGAUUUUAUUCGUAUACUGCAUCUAUCAGUCACCUACCUGUCCAAUCAGUCCUGUGUCGAGCAUCCACUCCCAAGGUAUCUGAAAAUCCUUGUAUCUUUUCCCUGUACUGUCUCUCAUCUUCUCUGUGUUGUUAACACUUUCCUCUAACCUGAAAAUGUGAAGAUUUAAGGCGAUUUAAUUCUUGUAAUUGGUUAAGAUCAGGGAGUUGCUAGUAUUAUAUUCUUUAGACAUACUCGCCUGUCUUGCAACGAUUGAAUCCUUUGCAAGGCCUGCGUCAGAGAAUCUUUUGGAUUGUCCUUGAAUGACAAAAUCUCAUUUCCAAGGUUCUUUGGCCUUUUGUAAUUGCAAGCAGCCUCUCUUAGUGAAUCUACUUUGCGUUCUGGCCAUUUAGGGAAAUGCUUUAGGACUGCCCUUUCAUCUACCAAGGAAGAUAGUUCUUCGUCUAUCCAUUUCACAAAUGUCUCCACUUCUGAUAUGUCUGUAAAUGUUGCAGCUUCCACUUUACUAAUCAAGAUAUGGAUAUGAUCUCUGUGUCUGUCAGUGUCAGAUUUAAUCUGCAAAUGUGCAAACACCGUUAGGAGAUCUGUUAAUGUUAUGAUGGACAUUUAAUUCCAUACGGUUGUUCAUUUAGCCACCUCUUCUAAGUUAUGAUGGACAAAGUUUAUCCUGUAUAGUACUUACAUCUGAAAGAUAUUUGGAGCGAUUCUCGAUUUCACCAAUCAUGUUUCUGUUGAAUGCAGGCGACAAAACUCCAUUCUGAUUGAUCUUGUUCCCCAUAUGAGACUCUCUCUUCGUCAGGGCACGAUAAAACUCUACGACUUCUGGAGCACGCCGCACAGAUCUUUUUCCAAGUGUUCUCUUUGAUGGAAGUGGUGGAGGUGGUGGCGGCUUUGUUGCUGUAGACUGACCUUGGAUCGUUGGCUUGGGAUUUGGAUUUCUGACCUCUUGACCCUUUGUGUUGGAUUUGACACUCUCUGGCGCUUUCAGCUUAUCGUUCCUCACUAGAUAGGCUUGAAGCUCCUUCACCAGACGCAGGAGAUCUGAAUCAUCUUCUCCAUUAGAUUAAGUUUGAAGAUCCUCUGAGUCCGCAAAUAAGUCACAGUCCCAGCCAUGGAUCGA
This is a long non-coding RNA of Arabidopsis thaliana (thale cress), 1434 nucleotides long. RefSeq annotates it as other RNA. The transcript is spliced from 4 exons. The record is from RefSeq. Lineage: Eukaryota; Viridiplantae; Streptophyta; Magnoliopsida; Brassicales; Brassicaceae.